GACGAACGCUGGCGGCGUGCUUAACACAUGCAAGUCGAACGUGAUUUUUGUGGAAAUUCUUUCGGGAAUGGAAAUGAAAUGAAAGUGGCGAACGGGUGAGUAACACGUGAGCAACCUACCUUACACAGGGGGAUAGCCGUUGGAAACGACGAUUAAUACCGCAUGAGACCACAGAAUCGCAUGAUAUAGGGGUCAAAGAUUUAUCGGUGUAAGAAGGGCUCGCGUCUGAUUAGCUAGUUGGAAGGGUAAAGGCCUACCAAGGCGACGAUCAGUAGCCGGUCUGAGAGGAUGAACGGCCACAUUGGAACUGAGACACGGUCCAAACUCCUACGGGAGGCAGCAGUGGGGAAUAUUGCACAAUGGGGGGAACCCUGAUGCAGCGACGCCGCGUGAGCGAAGAAGGUUUUCGAAUCGUAAAGCUCUGUCCUAUGAGAAGAUAAUGACGGUAGCAUAGGAGGAAGCCCCGGCUAAAUACGUG
RNAcentral lists this ribosomal RNA (478 nucleotides) under uncultured bacterium. RNAcentral's name for it is "partial 16S ribosomal RNA". It matches the Rfam family "Bacterial small subunit ribosomal RNA", at positions 28 to 507 of the family's 1533-position model. The record is from RNAcentral.